This 1230-nucleotide long non-coding RNA is filed under the name Phasianus colchicus (ring-necked pheasant). RNAcentral's name for it is "lncRNA (ENSPCLG00000013578.1)". The record is from RNAcentral. Lineage: Eukaryota; Metazoa; Chordata; Aves; Galliformes; Phasianidae.
UACACUUUAGCUUUUGCAGUUGUUUUGGCAUUGUGAACAUACAGUUUCUACCAUACAAUGUGUGGCCCAGUGACAUCUGGAGGUAUAUUUACUCCACCUCUGAUAAAACAUUGUGAAACACUGUCUUCCCCACCCAAAGCAAAAUGUGGCAGCAGAUUGCACAAGAAGUGGCCUUACUGUAAGCUAAAGUUGCUGGUGUUUGCUAAGCAAUUUUAAGCAUGCUAAGCUUUCUAGCCUCUUUACAGUCUAAGAAAGUUUAUCUCCUCUUCUCUCUUGAGUAUUCUCCUUCCAGAGAAAAGUAAGCCUGCUCCAAGAUACUUCAGAAGCCUUUCUAGCAUGAUGACAGAUACUAAUGGUUAUGAGUACAUUGGCACAGCAGAGCCCAGGACACUAGCAAGUCUAUCCUCACCAGGUCUCAGGAUGUUUUUCAGCCCUGCAGAACAUAAUGUGAGCCCUACACUUGCUUGGCCCUCCAAUAACAACAUAAUUUCACAACAAAUACAGCAUCUACUGUAUAGGCUAUGGGUUUCAGGGUUCCAUGUGCAAAUUUUGUAGGUCCAGUAUUUAUUCUGGCUCCAUCAGAGCAAAGACAAAUGCUACUGCAACCUGCAGCCCUGCGGAUUUGAUGUUCCUUCAGCACAUGCAGUAGUGUAAGUCUUAGAAAAAAUAAUGUUCUGUCAAAUGUGCUUGGUUUUCUUCUGAACUUCCUUCUGGUGCUGUGGCCUACUCAUCUUCUUCCUUUCACAUUCUGACAAUGUGUGCAUCAUGGUUAUUGAGUUGCAUUCCUGUCUGAGUUUCACUGGCACAGAAUUAAAUUUCCUUUUCCAUGUAAGUGUACUCACACCAAACCACAGGAAUUUAGCAGCUCAGAAGUCUGUGUGAAGACUUUAAGCUGGGACUAGGUAUCAACAAGAGUCCCAGGUGGGCAAAGAAUGCAAGGUGGACACAAUUUGCAGUUUGUAAGCCACAGACUUUUUUUUCCUUUCAUCUGGGCUUCAACAUACCCUGGCAUCGUCAUGUAAGAUAUGGCUGAUCAAAGAUUUCAAUGGGUAUGUAUCUCUGAUUACCCCAAACUACAAAUAGACAGAGACCAUCAGCUCAUUCACUCACGUACCUCACUGCAAUCACACUGAGGAGAGUCACCAGAGCAGAUUUUGAUGCAAGAUACCCUGGACAUUGCUAAAGUUGCACAAGUAAAGUUCUAACACUUGUCUUUGCAUUGUACUUUUG